GACGAACCGUGCGAACGUUAUUCGGAAUCACUGGGCUUAAAGCGCGUGUAGGCGGCCCGGCACGUCCGUCGCUGAAAUCCCCCGGCUCAACCGGGGAAGGGGCGUGGAUACGGCCGGGCUGGAGGGGGGUAGGGGGAGCCGGAACUUCCGGUGGAGCGGUGAAAUGCGUUGAGAUCGGAAGGAACGCCCGUGGCGAAAGCGGGCUCCUGGACCCCACCUGACGCUGAGACGCGAAAGCCAGGGGAGCGAACGGG
RNAcentral lists this ribosomal RNA (254 nucleotides) under uncultured bacterium. RNAcentral describes it as "partial 16S ribosomal RNA". It matches the Rfam family "Bacterial small subunit ribosomal RNA", at positions 524 to 776 of the family's 1533-position model. The record is from RNAcentral.